This 71-nucleotide non-coding RNA is filed under the name Fragilariopsis kerguelensis. The record is from RNAcentral. Lineage: Eukaryota; Bacillariophyta; Bacillariophyceae; Bacillariales; Bacillariaceae.
GUACAAAUAUACAAAAGCAAAAUGAAAAAUACAAAAUGAAAAAUUGAAAAACUCAAAAUUGAUGUCCACUA